AGCAGCCGCGGUAAUUCCAGCUCCAAUAGCGUAUAUUAAAGUUGUUGCAGUUAAAAAGCUCGUAGUUGAAUUUCGGGAUCAAAGGAUCGGUCAUGCCUUGGUAUGUACUGGUUUUAUUGGUUCUCACCUUCUAAAGAACCAUAAUGUCAUUCAUUUGAUGUUAUGGGGAAUUAGGACUGUUACCUUGAAAAAAUUAGAGUGUUUAAAGCAGGCUUACGCUUGAAUACAUUAGCAUGGAAUAAUGAAAUAGGACAUCAGAUUCUAUUUUGUUGGUUUCUAGGAUCGAUGUAAUGAUUAAUAGGGAUAGUUGGGGGCAUUAGUAUUCAAUUGUCAGAGGUGAAAUUCUUGGAUUUAUUGAAGACUAACUACUGCGAAAGCAUUUGCCGAGGAUGUUUUCAUUAAUCAAGAACGAAAGUUAGGGGAUCGAAGACGAUCAGAUACCGUCGUAGUCUUAACCAUAAACUAUGCCGACUAGGGAUCGGAUGAUGUUAAUUUUAUAAUGACUCU
This 507-nucleotide ribosomal RNA is filed under the name uncultured Glomus. Its description in RNAcentral is "SSU rRNA". It matches the Rfam family "Eukaryotic small subunit ribosomal RNA", at positions 569 to 1078 of the family's 1831-position model. The record is from RNAcentral. Lineage: Eukaryota; Fungi; Glomeromycota; Glomeromycetes; Glomerales; Glomeraceae.